GACGAACGCUGGCGGCGUGCUUAACACAUGCAAGUCGAACGGAAAGGCCCUGCUUUUGUGGGGUGCUCGAGUGGCGAACGGGUGAGUAACACGUGAGUAACCUGCCCUUGACUUUGGGAUAACUUCAGGAAACUGGGGCUAAUACCGGAUAGGAGCUCCUGCUGCAUGGUGGGGGUUGGAAAGUUUCGGCGGUUGGGGAUGGACUCGCGGCUUAUCAGCUUGUUGGUGGGGUAGUGGCUUACCAAGGCUUUGACGGGUAGCCGGCCUGAGAGGGUGACCGGCCACAUUGGGACUGAGAUACGGCCCAGACUCCUACGGGAGGCAGCAGUGGGGAAUAUUGCACAAUGGGCGGAAGCCUGAUGCAGCAACGCCGCGUGCGGGAUGACGGCCUUCGGGUUGUAAACCGCUUUCGCCUGUGACGAAGCGUGAGUGACGGUAAUGGUUAAAGAAGCACCGGCUAACUACGUGCCAGCAGCCGCGGUGAUACGUAGGGUGCGAGCGUUGUCCGGAUUUAUUGGGCGUAAAGGGCUCGUAGGUGGUUGAUCGCGUCGGAAGUGUAAUCUUGGGGCUUAACCCUGAGCGUGCUUUCGAUACGGGUUGACUUGAGGAAGGUAGGGGAGAAUGGAAUUCCUGGUGGAGCGGUGGAAUGCGCAGAUAUCAGGAGGAACACCAGUGGCGAAGGCGGUUCUCUGGGCCUUUCCUGACGCUGAGGAGCGAAAGCGUGGGGAGCGAACAGGCUUAGAUACCCUGGUAGUCCACGCUGUAAACGGUGGGUACUAGGUGUGGGGUCCAUUCCACGGGUUCCGUGCCGUAGCUAACGCUUUAAGUACCCCGCCUGGGGAGUACGGCCGCAAGGCUAAAACUCAAAGGAAUUGACGGGGCCCCGCACAAGCGGCGGAGCAUGCGGAUUAAUUCGAUGCAACGCGUAGAACCUUACCUGGGUUUGACAUGGAUCGGGAGUGCUCAGAGAUGGGUGUGCCUCUUUUGGGGUCGGUUCACAGGUGGUGCAUGGCUGUCGUCAGCUCGUGUCGUGAGAUGUUGGGUUAAGUCCCGCAACGAGCGCAACCCUUGUUCACUGUUGCCAGCACGUUAUGGUGGGGACUCAGUGGAGACCGCCGGGGUCAACUCGGAGGAAGGUGGGGAUGACGUCAAGUCAUCAUGCCCCUUAUGUCCAGGGCUUCACGCAUGCUACAAUGGCUGGUACAGAGAGUGGCGAGCCUGUGAGGGUGAGCGAAUCUCGGAAAGCCGGUCUCAGUUCGGAUUGGGGUCUGCAACUCGACCUCAUGAAGUCGGAGUCGCUAGUAAUCGCAGAUCAGCAACGCUGCGGUGAAUACGUUCCCGGGGCU
RNAcentral lists this ribosomal RNA (1346 nucleotides) under uncultured bacterium. Its description in RNAcentral is "partial 16S ribosomal RNA". It matches the Rfam family "Bacterial small subunit ribosomal RNA", at positions 28 to 1381 of the family's 1533-position model. The record is from RNAcentral.